CUGCGAUGAUGAGAGAGACUG
RNAcentral lists this unclassified non-coding RNA (21 nucleotides) under Mus musculus (house mouse). RNAcentral's name for it is "oocyte_clustered_small_RNA10001". Lineage: Eukaryota; Metazoa; Chordata; Mammalia; Rodentia; Muridae. The record is from RNAcentral.